This 26161-nucleotide long non-coding RNA is filed under the name Zea mays. RNAcentral describes it as "long non-coding RNA (ZMAY_LNC003346)". Lineage: Eukaryota; Viridiplantae; Streptophyta; Magnoliopsida; Poales; Poaceae. The record is from RNAcentral.
GGGGGGGGUACCUGAUGGGGGUGGAGACGGCGUGGGGAUGGCGGCUGCGGGGUCGGCAAGGAUGGCGGAUGCGGGGUCGGGUUGCGGGGUCGGCGGGAAUGGCGCGUGGGUCGGCGGGGAUGGAGGGGUGUUUUUGUAAAACGGUGACGCAGGCGUGUGAGAUGCUCGACGGGUUGAUUAGAAGAAGAAUAGUGACCUUUUUGUAAAAUUAUGACGCAUUACGAUCGUUGAAACUGGUGCUUUAAGUAUAGUAUAGAUUACUAGAUGAGUGUCCGUGCUUUGCAACGAAUAUAUAAUACCAUGAUAAUUUAUAUGUAAAAUAUGUUAUACUCUUAUGGGAAAAUGUUUCAUAAUCCAUUUGUGAUCCUUGCUGUACAUAAAUUUUUAUUAUUUUAAUCUAUUUGUAUCACUACUACAUUGCAACCAUCAGUACCAUGCAGACUUCAAUAUAUAUCACGAUUUGCAUAGCCUCGUCGUUGGAGAUCACGUCCCACACCUGCCGGAAGAAGUUUCCUCGUAUAUCGUCAGUCAUCAGACAUGCACCACCAUACACGCUUGCUUAAAAGAGCAAGUGUGUGUUUGCGAAAAGAAUUAAAGUCGGGCCGGCACAAAAGCUACUCUGACGGUAGCGAUGAUGACAAACUGGUCAUUGCUGUCGAUCCUCUUCUGCGUUCCCUCCGGCGCCGAGAUGACGCCACAGUUCUUGAUAUAGUAGUCGUCGAACGCGCGCGACAUGGUGAGUCCCGACGACUCUUGGUUGGGCUACCAGACGAAGUGCACUCCCGGACUCAUCAGCGAGGUAGUACACCUGACCAUUGCACCACGGAUGCACUACUCCUCCGCAUACAUCAUGUUCGAGAACACUCACACAACGUCAGCAACGGUCGUUGUCCCAACGCACAAGAAUUCAUGGCCGGUCAGUAGCGUCUUACGUGGCAGGUUGGGCUUCAGGUGGACGAUGAGCUGGACGGCGUGAUGGAGUCGUCAUCAGAUGCGGUGCCUAGAACAACUUAGGAGUCACUGACGUUGGCGACUAACAUAAGUCCCACUACUUGACGAUGGAUAGCGCGGUGCAGCGCUCUGGACCGCGUCCAAGCACCUCCUGCUAGUUGUGUUUGUUCGAGGUUUACAAGUAAGAAAUAUGGAUUUAUCCUUGGCGUUGGUUUAUGAAAAUGACUCACAAGUUAGAUCCAUGGAAAAAAUAUUACAGAGAAUAAAUGCCACACAUGCAAAAAAUGAAUUUAAGUUGAAAACAUUAUUCAAACAAAAGAAAUUGCAUGCAAGGCUCUUCUUUAAAUACUACUCUCUCCAUCCAAAAAUAUAAUUCAAGAAUCUCAGUGAUACUUAUCUACUAAUUUGUGUUGUGCAAGAGUAGCAGAUGGGCUUGAAGAGAGAUGUAGUAGAUGUUUUUCUAUCAUAAAUGUAGAUAGAAACACACAUAUAACGUCUGAUUGGUUGGGUGGACGCACGUAGCCGAGCCCGUGCGAGCUAGGCGCGCUGGAAACAGGAUGUCGUCUACGUAUCUGCGCAUGCAGUGAGAGAAGUCGAUUCUAGCUUGCGCAUGUAGCUGCCGGUGCAGCUUUGUCUCCGUGAACACAUGUAACCAAACAGAGGCUGUCGCUUAGUCAACGCAUCCGGAGAGUCCAGCUUAGGGUGCACACGAAACCAAUCAGGCGAAUAGUGUAGCGUUAGUUACUACUUGUCGGUGUUUCGAGACCGGGGGGUCCCUAAGCUGACGAGUGAAUGUCGCCGCGUGCCCCAGCCCAGAUGGGUCGACGCGAGGCCGAGCGUGAAGGGGGGAAGUGAUGUGGCCGGAGAUGGGCGUGAGAGAGGUGGAAAUCCCGCGGCCUUCGUGUUUGUCUCGCGCCCAGGUCGGGUGCGCUUGCAGUAGGGGGUUACAAGCGUCCACGCGGGAGAGGGAGCGAGCGGCCUCACGCGAGCGCCUGUCUCGUCCUCGUCCCCGCGCGGCCAACCCCUUCUAAGAGGGCCCUGGUCCUUCCUUUUAUAGGCGUAAGGAGAGGAUCCAGGUGUACAAUGGGGGCGCAGCAGAGUGCUACGUGUCUAGCGGAGGAGAGCUAGCGCCCUAAGUACAUGCCGUUGUGGCAGCCGGAGAGAUUUUGGCACCCAGCUGGUGUGAUGUCGUGGCCGUCGGAGGAGCGAUGGAGCCUGGCGGAGGGACAACUGUCGGAGCUGUUGAGUCCUUGCUGACGUCCUCUUGCUUCCGUAAGGGGGCUGAGAGCCGCCGUCGUCACAGAGUAUGCGGGGCGCCAUCAUUGCCUAUCUGGCGGAGCGAGCCAGAUGGGACGCCGGUCUUGUCCCCCGUGGCCCGAGUCAGCUCGGGGUAGGGUGAUGAUGGCGCCUCCUGUCGACGUGGCUGGUCUGCGCCCUAGGUUGGGCGAUGUGGAAGCUCCUCCGAAGCCGAGGUCGAGUCUGUCUUCCGUGGCCGAGGUCGAGUCCGAGCCCCCGGGUCGGGCGAGGCGGAGACCGUCGGCUGAGGCCAGGGUCUUCCGGGGCUUAGCCCGAGUCCGAGCCCUGGGUCGGGCGGAGCGGAGUUCGCCGUCUUCCGGGGCUUAGCCCGAGUCCGAGCCCUGGGUCGGGCGAAGCGGGGCUUCCUAUGGUGCCUGCGGCCGGGCCUGACUGCCUGUCAGCCUCACUCUGUCAAGUGGCACCGCAGUCGGAGCGGCGCAGGCGGCGCUGUCUUUCUGUCAGGCCGGUCAGUGGAGCGGCGAAGUGAUGGCGGUCACUUCGGCUCUGUCAGCUGGGGGGCGCGCGUCAGGAUAAAGGUGUCAGGCCACCUUUGCAUUAAAUGCUCCUGCGAUUUGGUCGGUCGGUGCGGCGAUUUGGUCAGGGUUGCUUUUUGGCGAAGACAGGGCCUCGGGCGAGCCGGAAAUAUGUUUGCCGCUGGAGGGGGGCCUCGGGCGAGACGGAGAUCCUCCGGGGUCGGCUGCCCUUGUCCGAGGCUAGGCUCGGGCGAGGCGUGAUCGAGUCCCUCGAAUGGACUGAUCCCUGACUUAAUCGCACCCAUCAGGCCUUUGCAGCUUUAUGCUGAUGGGGGUUACCAGCUGAGAAUUAGGAGCCUUGAGGGUACCCCUAAUUAUGGUCCCCGACAGUAGCCCCUGAGCCUCGAAGGGAGUGUUAGCACUCGCUUGGAGGCUUUCGUCGCACUUUUUUGCAAGGGGACCAGCCUUUCUUGGUUGCAUUUUGUUCCGGUGGGUGCGCGCGAGCGCACCCGCCGGGUGUAGCCCCCGAGGCCUCGGAGGAGUGGUUUCACUCCUCCGAGGUCUUAAUGCCUCGCGUAAUGCUUCGGCUGGUCUGGUCGUCCCUUAUGCGAGCUGGCCGUAGCCCGGGUGUACGGUCGGGUCCCAAGUUCUCGGGCUGGUAUGUUGACACUGUCAACGGUUCGGCCGGAGCCGGAUUUGCGAGAGCAGCCCCCGAGCCUCUGCACAGGGCGAGAGGGCGAUCAGGGACAGACUCGACUUUUUUACAUACGCCCCUGCGUCGCCUUUCCGCAAGGAGGAGGGGGGAAAGCGCCAUGUUGCCCUUGAUGGGCGCCGAACAUGGUGUCUCCGGUGAGCUACAAGCGGGUAAUCCGAGUGGACGUCCGUGCCCCGUUCGUUGGGGGUCGGCUAGGGGCCCAGAGGCACUCCCAAAAGUACUUGCGGGUGAUCUGCCGGUCCCGGUCCCCUGGCGACGGGGUCCGAGGGCUCGAUGCCUCCCUCUGAUGGGAUUCCGUUACAAGAUCGUUCCAGCUGGUCUCGGAAAUGUCCUAGGGUACCUCGGGAGCGCAGCCCGAGCCUUGGUUAUGUAUCGAACGUACCCAUGGUCAUCCCUCGCUCGGCGUCUGAGGCGGCUGUGAACCCUUUGGGGGCCAGCCUUCGAACCCCUAAUCAGUACUGGGCGCGGAGCCCGAGUAGCCUGAGGCGGCCGUUGAACCCUUCCGAGGGGCCGACCUUCGAACCUCUGACCAGUAGUGGGUGUAGGGCCCACGCGAUCUGAGGCGGCUGUCGAACCCUUCCGAGGGGCCAGCCUUCGAACCUCUGAUCAGUAGGGAGGCUCGGAGCCUGGUUCCUUCACGGGGAAGGAUCCUUUUCGGGGUAUCCCCCUUUCCCGGUCCCUGUUGCAAGAGAGAGAAAGAGGGAAAAAGGAAAAGGAUACGAAAUCGAACGAUGCGGCGUACCUUUUUUGACGCGGUCAUUAUGGCGAAGGCGAAGCAUCGCCCGCUUCUCCUGCCAGAGGCGCCGCCUGUCCCGCCGCGGAGUUAAUGCGACGGGGCGAGUGCUUGGCGUGGCGGCCGUUGCGCGUGCGCGAGCCGUUCGAGGAACGGUACACGGGCGCGUUGUCUUCACGCCGUGAGAGAGGGUUCUCUCGCUGCCCCCGGACGGGACGUGAGCUUGGCUGACGACGUGGCCGCUGCUCCUGCCCGCCUGCCACCGCCAUUACUGCCGGCCCAUUUUUGGCCGCAUUGACCGUCGCGCCAAGCUGGCGCUGCUGGGUCGUGCGCUGGGUCGCCUCGAGUCGCGGUAUUGGUUCCGCAGUCGAGGAGGCGCGGUAGUGGCGCAAGUGGCGGUGCAGUUGCAUGCACGAAGCAUUCGGCGCGCCGGUUGCAUGACGCGUGGGCCUGGGCCUCCAUGCUGGGCGUGUUGGGAGUCGGAGAAGUGCGCCCACUUGGCGUGGUUGCAUGCCGCCUGCAUGGCUGCCCGUCCCUUUCGCCCGUUGGUCUGGGCAAAAGUGGAGAGUCGCUUGUAACCGCUGGGCGGUUGUACGCACCGCGCACGACGGUUUGGCUUCUUCUGCUCUGAGCUGGCUUGCAUGACGUGUGGGACCCAGCCCCCGCGCCGCAGGGGAGGACCUUGGAGCGUGUUGGAGAAGACUCAGCCCGCGACGGCUGGGGACGCAAGUAGGGAGAGUCGCCUUUAAAAGGAGGGUGACCCCCUUGGAAGGCGACCAUGUCUUCGCGCUCCCUUAUGCAUCGUGUCUUUCCACCUUCCAAGCCCCCGGAUGGGGGAUACCCGCCGUCUUUCCGCCUCGUCGUUGGAAGAAUGCAACUCCGUGGGAGUUGGCACCUUUCAGCCAUCGUUCGGCUUCAAGGAUUUUCAUCAGACAGCCCGGUUGCACCCCUCCGCUGGUGGUCACCCAGAACGGUGACCUCCAGCCCCUGGAUGGGGAGAGGCAAACCGGGCUGUGAUCUUGGUCCUGCCCUCAGCCUCGAGGGUGUUCGUCAUCCUCGCUGGGGCAGGGAGCGAGGCGAGCCGGGGCUCUACCUCCCGCGCGGGCCGGCGGGCCACCUCUUCUUCCAGCUUUUGGUGGUGGCAACCAUCCUCCAGCUCUGCGGAGAAGACGUCCUCCAGCCAUGCCGAGGAAGGCGAACUAAUGCUGCCCAGCUAGGAUGCAACAUUCCGCCCUCUUCCUCGCUUUCGUGGCGAAGACGGGAGCGAGGAACUGCCGGUGCGCUUUGGAGCGGCCCGCUCUUUGGCUUUAAUAGCUGGUUCGCGUCCCUUGAGCGGGAACGCGAACGAGGGCCCUCCGGCGGCCGUGUCCGUCCUGGGACCAUGGCUGCUGCUGCAGAGGUCGCUGGCGGGUCCCCCGGUGCUCGUCGCCCCGCAGGCUCCCCGGUGUGGAGGUUGUUCAUACCCGCGGGAACGGAACCAGAGUUCCAUCUGUAAUGGCACUUCGAAUGCCAGUGUUUUUGUUCAUUGUGGCUGUCGAGGCCUGAACAUGUAUGUAAUUUCGGCACGGAGCCGUGUUUUUUCCUCAUUUUCGAGCAUUAAGACUCGCAUGUUGGUUGUCUGAACUGCUUCACCAAGCGUGAGUCGCCCCGGGUAAAGGUGACGAGUGAGGUAUCCAUAUCCUGGAGGCGUAGGAGUCCCUCGGCUCGGCCAGCCUUGUUGCCCGAGGCUUCUCUUGCUCAGUUAAAGGAACCCCUCGGCCGCUCUUCGAUGAGCCGAGGCCAGGGGUAGCGGUGUCAGCGGAACAGAGGCAGAGUUGGCUCGGUAAAAAGACCUGGUCGGCCGGAGCCUGGCCGGGUCGUCCGUUAGCGGGACCGACGCCAGAAUUGACCAACCGAGGCCUCGGGCUGGCGUCCUCGGAGGACAGUUGGCCGAGGCCCCAGGGUGACCGGCCGAGCCGCCUGCUCGGGCCGGAUUCUCGGAGAAGACCCUGGUGGCGAUGGCCCGGGCUUGGUGAUGACGUCGUCCUUCAGAGUGGAGAUCUUCGGACUGCGUCGCCGUCCGAGGCUAGGUCGGACCUCGCCGAAGGUGUUGUCGACGCCGAGGGUGCUGCUGCUCCCUUCAAGCGUCAAGACCCGAGCCUGCAGGAUCGGAUUGUCUUGUAGCGUGUGUUUCCUGCGGCCGCCGAGGCCAAAACACACCCUCGCUGUGUUGUAAAGCUGCGUCUCUUUUCCUCUUGUUUCGAGUAUCUAGACCUUUUUGUCGGUAACGGAAUUGCUUGUGCGAGCGAGGGUUGCUUCUCACGGAAGGUGAUGAGUGAGGUAUCCGUAUCUCGGAGGCGUAGGAGUCCCUCGGCUCUGUCGGCCUUGCCGCUUACGCGCACUCUUACCCGUCCAUGGGGUUCUGUCACCGACGCAGUCGAGAAGGCUCGAAGAAUCGCUCCGGCAGAAGAGCUUCCGAGCGUGAAGACUUGUUCGGUCCGCGGAAUCACUUAUCCGAACGUGAGUUACUUAUCGCAGAAGGUGAUGAGUGAGGUAUCCGUAUCCCGGAGGCGUAGGAGUCCCUCGGAUCGGUCAGCCUUGGCUACUUAUGUGUACUCCGUCAUUUUCAGGAUCCACUUUCGAAGUAGUCAAAAAGCACGAAAGACACCCUGGCAGAAAGGAUCUUUUUUUCGAGGAAAAAAUUCGAUGCAAAGGGGGUUCCCCCCUUUUAGCCCCUGAGGGAGGGUCGGGCUUUGCCGAGGCAAGGCUGACCCUUCCUUGAUGACUAAACUUUGUGUGGGAGCGAGAUAUAUGAACAACUUGAAAACAUCUUAAGGGUAGAAGCGACAUAGCUGUUGGAUGUUCCAAGCGUUGCUGUAGACCUCGCCUUGACUGUUGGCCAGCUUGUACGUUCCGGGCUUCAGAACCUUGGCGAUGACGAACGGCCCCUCCCAGGGGGGCGUGAGCUUGUGCCGCCCUCGGGCGUCUUGUCACAGCCGAAGCACCAGGUCGCCCACCUGGAGGUCUCGGGACCGGACCCCUCGAGCGUGGUAGCGUCGCAUGGACUGCUGGUACCACGCCGAGUGCAGUAAGUGUAACACCCGGAUUUUAGGGGUCCAAAACCCGGGGUUAACAUAAACACCAGGUAUGCUGGGACCAAGUCUCACACAUAUGAUGUAUAGUGGCACAGGAUCGAAUGUCACAUCUUUAUAUACAACAGGAGUUCUGUACAAAAUAAAUAAUUACAUUAUAAGGAGACAACGGUCCAGCAACCCAAAGUUGACUGGGAGACGACGACCUAGACCUCUCACGAACUCAUCACAGCAUCCUCCAUGAGCAUCAUCCUGCAGUACCUGGUCUUGACCUGUGGUGUAUGUGAGACAGCAAGAGUGAGCUCACAUACGUUCAUCGCUCAACAAGUUGUGGGGAAUAAUGUGCAUGAACUCGCCAAAGGUGGGAGCUCACGUGAAGUGUAAGGCUUACCAAAGAAGAUGGUUAGAGCUGAGCAUUGCUUUUAAAGUUGGUCAAAAUUUUAUUAGCAGUUACUAAGUAUAAGUAAAUACCAAACCCAAUUAAGUAAUAGAACAAAAGUAACCACAUCACCUGCAAUGCAAUGCAUAUGACAAAUUGAAUUUAGUUCCAUAAUUUAAUCAUGUGAGUGUCCGAGCCGCUCAUGACCGUGAGCACGGCUAGUAUACCAGUUUUACACUCUGCAGAGGUUGCGCAUCUUUACCCACAAGUCGUGUAUCCCAUGUCGCCAGGGUUUGCAAGGCCCUUAGACACUUCCGAGGUGAAUGGCUAGGGAUCCACUACGAGGCCUUUACAAAGUUCCACUAGCUUCCGAAAACCCGCUACAGUUUAUAGGAAGAUCCAGUACAGGAAUCCCUUGCAGGACCGCCAUCGCAGCAAAAUCCUCCCGAGGGCCUCCCCGCACUGACCUCUCCCCUACUGCCCUUGCCCCUUUCGGGUAAGGUAGUCUUCCACUAGCUUUCCUAAUUAAUCAGCCAAGGGCGUCCCAUUAAACCCCUGUGGUAGCACUGUUUUCCCGGGUGGUUCUCCAUGUUCCAAUUAACAUAAUGAUCUCAACAUGAACAAUAAAUAACAACUGAUAACAAAAAUGUAACCAUGGAUAGUGUAUCUCCAUACCCAAAACCACAUAUAGCACUAGCAAGUACUACCCAGAAAGUUCAGUGGUAAACAAGGUAUAAAGAUAGACAAACUAGGGUAACCUAUUGGGUCCCAUCAAAAUUAACCUAUGCAGAUCAUUAUGAUUAAUUAGAACAUGAGUAGGUAAAAAGAAGUGAUCAAGGGCACAACUUGCCUGGGCCUUGAGAAUCCAGGUACCAGGAUGAUCUUCAGGUGACACGUGACCUCACUGCUAGUCGUAGCAAUCCAAACAAACAUGGCAUAGGCAAAAUUAACAUUACACCAAACAUGCAAAUAGAAUAUCCAGUAAUAAACUAGACAUUAAAAUAAGAUCACAGGAAAAAGAAUUAUUAAUUUUGGAGUUAUAGAGUUCAAGUUAUGAAUUUCCUAUGAUUUAAGGUGAUUAUAAUAGGAUUACAUGAUAAAUUUAUUUUCUAACAGAGUUCAUGUCAAAACAGUGAUUCUAAAUGGUAGAGAAUAUUAUUACAAAAUUUUAGGAAUUGGAAUGACUCAAUUUGGAGCUAAAAUAAAUUUUCUAUGAAUUAUCUAAGUUCUAGCAAUUAUUUUCAUAUUAAAAAUCUAUUUUCUAUUUUAUUUAUUCAAUUUAAACGAGUUCUGGACUGGGCCUCAAUUAUAAGAAAGGUCAGGGGGCUCGGCGCAAGAAUUCCCAGACACAUAGAACCCCGAGGGUGGACCGCGGGUUUAUUUCAUAAAAGUUCAGGGUCUCUUAUGAAAAAGCGUCUGGCCGAAGGGGUAUCGGCCGAUCGUGGCCCUUAGAUUAGAAUCCUACGGCUGAGAUUAGAUCAAGCCGAGCUCGAACCGGUAUGCGAUAAUGGCUUUCGGAUCUAGAUCUAACGGCCGCGAUUUAAUGAAGCGCGAUCCGCCCGACUACCACACGAUCAGGCAUCAACGGCGCAGGAUCAAUCACGCGAAGGGUUACGCGUCGAUCAAAUCUGGGCCGCACGAUCACGAUCCAACGGUCAUCGCCUAUCUCCCCAAUUCUCAGCUCGGGACGGCGGCGAGCUAGCCGGACCAGGGCGGCGCCAUCGCCGGUGAAGCUCGAUUUGGCCAUACAGCGCACGAAAACUCAAUUAAAAACCGCUACACGAUGCCCUAAGUACACUGAGUGCAAUGGACUCGAAAUUACCCCGUGAUACGGUGCCGAAGAUCUUGGCCACGGCGCGCGGCGGAUUUGCAAGGACGGCGUCGAAUUCCCGGGGCCACGGUCGGGGAUUCCGCCCGGCUUCACGACGAACCGAUUCUUUGCGACCAUACAAGCGUCCGGGGCGAGGCAAUUGGAGCGGAGAGGCGCUGGUGCAGUGAUUCAACAAUGGCGGCGGCGAACUGGAUUUCGGCCCCUGGCGGCGCAAGGCUGUCGGUGCAAGGCGGAUGAGGAGGAAAGGAGGGGGCCGCGGCACUUUAUAUAGGCGCGACAUGGCCAGCUUCACCGGGAAAAGGGCGAAGUCCGCCGUAGAACACGCCGCGACGGUCGCGCGAUUCGUUGAAGACGCCGAGCGCGCGUACUAACGGCACGGCAGUGGCUGACGGGCAUGGCCCACAUGUCGGCGCGCGUCUGCGUAAGGGAGACGGGCCGCACGGCGUGAUUCCACGGGUGGGCCGGAAUUGACGCAGCUGGCCCAACUGGCUUUUAAUCCUUUUUUUUUCUAUUUUCUGUUUCUUUUCUUUUUCAAAUUCAAACUUCGAUUCAAAUUCAAACUUUGUGGCACUUUGUAUACUGGCUAAUUAUUUAUUUUGAUCACAUCAACUGUGGUGCAGUUAUUUUAAUGAUAAUUUUAUUUGUAUUGAAUAAUAUUCCUUUCUCUUCUCUAUUUUCAUGGUUUUAUUUUCAAGUUAAACUUUAAAUUCUAUGGAUCCCUUGAGAUGCUAUUAAUGGUAUAUUUAUUUUAUUAAGCACAAAUGCACAUCCAAAUAUAAAACUCAGCAUGAUGCAUAAAUUUUAAUGGUAUAUCCUUUUAUUACUUAUUUGUUUUUGAAUUUAGUGUUCACAUGUGAUGAUGCAUAAAGAUCAAGUUCACAUAUGAUGGUAAGUAGAAAUAACACACAUAUAGAUAAAGGAGUUAAUUUCUCCUCUUUCCUUAUAUGUUACAAACUGGGUGUUACAAAUCCUACCCCCCUUAAAAAUAAUCUCGUCCUCGAGAUUAAUAAGCAGAAGGGAUCCAACAAGCUUGGUUUGUAGUCUAUACUUUAGUUUCUAGUUGGUUUUAAUACCAAAAGAUUUGUUUUUUUUAAUAUCACAAAUUAUCAUGUGAUUAGGAAAGCAUGGGUAUAUAUAUAGCUACUUUAUUAUGUAGGAUAAAAGAUGUAUUCAAAGCAUGGAUAGGUUUGGGUAAGGUAAGGAAGGACUCCAUCCUAGAUUGUGGAUCUUGACUCAUCUUGGUGAUCCCGCUUGAUCCUUGAAGACUUGAGUUGGUGCUUAUACUUUCUUGAUGAGGUUGAUCAUCUUCGGUCUCCAAUCUUGGUAUCUCCAUCUGAGCUAGGGAGCUGUAGUUAAGAUGGCUAGGGUCUGUGGAUAGGACUUUUUUUUUAGGUUUACAUAGAUGGAUUAUGUAACUUAUUGGGAGUGUAUGGCUGAGUUGAUCUAUGGCACUAACUUAGGCUUAAGUGAAUUAGGAGUACGGUUUUAUCCUUUGUACCAGCAUUAAGAAUCACCCACAAGGUUAAUUCAUAAUAGAUUAGAUAGGGCCUAAUUUUUGUCGCCAACAUUAUCUAACUUAUUUAAGUAACUCAAAUUUGGAUUAGAUCAUGGUUGUUACACUAGCGUGGGAUAAAUAUGCUUAUUGGGGUAAGAUGAAUCCAUAAGGAUAAGGUAGAAUCUUUUGAGGUCAGAUAGAUCUAUUAGGAUAAGAUAAAUCUUUUCAAGAUAAGAUGAGAAUCUAUUUUUUUUAGGAUAAGAUGGAUCUAUAAGUGUAGGAUAGACUUUUUCAAGAUAAGAUGGAUUUUGCUAGGCUAGAUUCUUUGAUGAGGGAUAACCUAGUUCAUUUAGAUAUUUUUAUAACCGUUUUUUUUUCUAUAUGUAUAUGCAGAUGUGAUUGUGGACAUUACUCCACAACUAAUCACACUCAAUCAAAGAUCCAAAUCAAACAAGUAUCAUAAGAACAAACAUUCAAGCUUACAAAUACCUAUAAAAAUAGUUUUGUUUUUGUUCCUAAGAUUAGGUCGCCUAUUCCUAAAAGUCACUUUAGGCACAGGAUUUCAAAGUGUGAAGUCCACUUUUGUCUUUUAGAAAGAAAAGAUAAGAAUAAUCAGAGUAAAGCGGAAAUAGAUGAGAAAAGAUUAAGAUAAGUUUAGAGAAGAAUCAGAGUAGCAAAGGUAAGUAGAUAAUGGUUGUCCAGUUCUAUCUAGGUUUCGUCCUACAGUCAACAUUCCUCUGAUACCACUUCUGUAACACCCGGAUUUUAGGGGUCCAAAACCCGGGGUUAACAUAAACACCAGGUAUGCUGGGACCAAGUCUCACACAUAUGAUGUAUAGUGGCACAGGAUCGAAUGUCACAUCUUUAUAUACAACAGGAGUUCUGUACAAAAUAAAUAAUUACAUUAUAAGGAGACAACGGUCCAGCAACCCAAAGUUGACUGGGAGACGACGACCUAGACCUCUCACGAACUCAUCACAGCAUCCUCCAUGAGCAUCAUCCUGCAGUACCUGGUCUUGACCUGUGGUGUAUGUGAGACAGCAAGAGUGAGCUCACAUACGUUCAUCGCUCAACAAGUUGUGGGGAAUAAUGUGCAUGAACUCGCCAAAGGUGGGAGCUCACGUGAAGUGUAAGGCUUACCAAAGAAGAUGGUUAGAGCUGAGCAUUGCUUUUAAAGUUGGUCAAAAUUUUAUUAGCAGUUACUAAGUAUAAGUAAAUACCAAACCCAAUUAAGUAAUAGAACAAAAGUAACCACAUCACCUGCAAUGCAAUGCAUAUGACAAAUUGAAUUUAGUUCCAUAAUUUAAUCAUGUGAGUGUCCGAGCCGCUCAUGACCGUGAGCACGGCUAGUAUACCAGUUUUACACUCUGCAGAGGUUGCGCAUCUUUACCCACAAGUCGUGUAUCCCAUGUCGCCAGGGUUUGCAAGGCCCUUAGACACUUCCGAGGUGAAUGGCUAGGGAUCCACUACGAGGCCUUUACAAAGUUCCACUAGCUUCCGAAAACCCGCUACAGUUUAUAGGAAGAUCCAGUACAGGAAUCCCUUGCAGGACCGCCAUCGCAGCAAAAUCCUCCCGAGGGCCUCCCCGCACUGACCUCUCCCCUACUGCCCUUGCCCCUUUCGGGUAAGGUAGUCUUCCACUAGCUUUCCUAAUUAAUCAGCCAAGGGCGUCCCAUUAAACCCCUGUGGUAGCACUGUUUUCCCGGGUGGUUCUCCAUGUUCCAAUUAACAUAAUGAUCUCAACAUGAACAAUAAAUAACAACUGAUAACAAAAAUGUAACCAUGGAUAGUGUAUCUCCAUACCCAAAACCACAUAUAGCACUAGCAAGUACUACCCAGAAAGUUCAGUGGUAAACAAGGUAUAAAGAUAGACAAACUAGGGUAACCUAUUGGGUCCCAUCAAAAUUAACCUAUGCAGAUCAUUAUGAUUAAUUAGAACAUGAGUAGGUAAAAAGAAGUGAUCAAGGGCACAACUUGCCUGGGCCUUGAGAAUCCAGGUACCAGGAUGAUCUUCAGGUGACACGUGACCUCACUGCUAGUCGUAGCAAUCCAAACAAACAUGGCAUAGGCAAAAUUAACAUUACACCAAACAUGCAAAUAGAAUAUCCAGUAAUAAACUAGACAUUAAAAUAAGAUCACAGGAAAAAGAAUUAUUAAUUUUGGAGUUAUAGAGUUCAAGUUAUGAAUUUCCUAUGAUUUAAGGUGAUUAUAAUAGGAUUACAUGAUAAAUUUAUUUUCUAACAGAGUUCAUGUCAAAACAGUGAUUCUAAAUGGUAGAGAAUAUUAUUACAAAAUUUUAGGAAUUGGAAUGACUCAAUUUGGAGCUAAAAUAAAUUUUCUAUGAAUUAUCUAAGUUCUAGCAAUUAUUUUCAUAUUAAAAAUCUAUUUUCUAUUUUAUUUAUUCAAUUUAAACGAGUUCUGGACUGGGCCUCAAUUAUAAGAAAGGUCAGGGGGCUCGGCGCAAGAAUUCCCAGACACAUAGAACCCCGAGGGUGGACCGCGGGUUUAUUUCAUAAAAGUUCAGGGUCUCUUAUGAAAAAGCGUCUGGCCGAAGGGGUAUCGGCCGAUCGUGGCCCUUAGAUUAGAAUCCUACGGCUGAGAUUAGAUCAAGCCGAGCUCGAACCGGUAUGCGAUAAUGGCUUUCGGAUCUAGAUCUAACGGCCGCGAUUUAAUGAAGCGCGAUCCGCCCGACUACCACACGAUCAGGCAUCAACGGCGCAGGAUCAAUCACGCGAAGGGUUACGCGUCGAUCAAAUCUGGGCCGCACGAUCACGAUCCAACGGUCAUCGCCUAUCUCCCCAAUUCUCAGCUCGGGACGGCGGCGAGCUAGCCGGACCAGGGCGGCGCCAUCGCCGGUGAAGCUCGAUUUGGCCAUACAGCGCACGAAAACUCAAUUAAAAACCGCUACACGAUGCCCUAAGUACACUGAGUGCAAUGGACUCGAAAUUACCCCGUGAUACGGUGCCGAAGAUCUUGGCCACGGCGCGCGGCGGAUUUGCAAGGACGGCGUCGAAUUCCCGGGGCCACGGUCGGGGAUUCCGCCCGGCUUCACGACGAACCGAUUCUUUGCGACCAUACAAGCGUCCGGGGCGAGGCAAUUGGAGCGGAGAGGCGCUGGUGCAGUGAUUCAACAAUGGCGGCGGCGAACUGGAUUUCGGCCCCUGGCGGCGCAAGGCUGUCGGUGCAAGGCGGAUGAGGAGGAAAGGAGGGGGCCGCGACACUUUAUAUAGGCGCGACAUGGCCAGCUUCACCGGGAAAAGGGCGAAGUCCGCCGUAGAACACGCCGCGACGGUCGCGCGAUUCGUUGAAGACGCCGAGCGCGCGUACUAACGGCACGGCAGUGGCUGACGGGCAUGGCCCACAUGUCGGCGCGCGUCUGCGUAAGGGAGACGGGCCGCACGGCGUGAUUCCACGGGUGGGCCGGAAUUGACGCAGCUGGCCCAACUGGCUUUUAAUCCUUUUUUUUUCUAUUUUCUGUUUCUUUUCUUUUUCAAAUUCAAACUUCGAUUCAAAUUCAAACUUUGUGGCACUUUGUAUACUGGCUAAUUAUUUAUUUUGAUCACAUCAACUGUGGUGCAGUUAUUUUAAUGAUAAUUUUAUUUGUAUUGAAUAAUAUUCCUUUCUCUUCUCUAUUUUCAUGGUUUUAUUUUCAAGUUAAACUUUAAAUUCUAUGGAUCCCUUGAGAUGCUAUUAAUGGUAUAUUUAUUUUAUUAAGCACAAAUGCACAUCCAAAUAUAAAACUCAGCAUGAUGCAUAAAUUUUAAUGGUAUAUCCUUUUAUUACUUAUUUGUUUUUGAAUUUAGUGUUCACAUGUGAUGAUGCAUAAAGAUCAAGUUCACAUAUGAUGGUAAGUAGAAAUAACACACAUAUAGAUAAAGGAGUUAAUUUCUCCUCUUUCCUUAUAUGUUACAAACUGGGUGUUACAGUAAGGCCCUAUCCCGAGCCUCUUCCAGCUGGUCCAGCGAGUCUUCUCGACUAGCUUGGUUGCUUUGGUCGGCAUAGGCCCUUGUCCUCGGGGAGCCAUAUUCCAGGUCUGUGGGCAAGAUGGCCUCGGCCCCAUAGACCAGAAAGAACGGCGUGAAGCCCGUGGCUCGGCUCGGCGUUGUCCUCAGACUCCAGACCACCGAGGGGAGUUCCUUCAUCCAUCGCUUGCCGAAUUUGUUGAGGUCGUUGUAUAUCCGAGGCUUGAGCCCUUGUAGAAUCAUACCGUUGGCACGCUCUACUUGCCCAUUUGACAUGGGGUGAGCUACGGCGGCCCAGUCCACCCGGAUGUGGUGAUCCUCGCAGAAGUCCAGGAACUUUCUGCCGGUGAACUGGGUGCCGUUGUCGAUGAUGAUGGAGUUCGGGACCCCGAAACGACGGAUGAUGUUGGUGAAGAACGUCACCGCCUGCUCGGACCUGAUGCUGUUUAGGGGUCGGACCUCGAUCCACUUGGAGAAUUUGUCGAUGGCGACCAACAGGUGCGUGUAGCCCCCGGGUGCCUUCUGCAAGGGGCCGACGAGGUCCAGACCCCAUACAGCAAAAGGCCAGGUGAUGGGUAUCGUCUACAGAGCCUGAGCGGGCAGGUGGGUCUGCCUUGCAUAGAACUGACACCCUUCGCAGGUGCGGACAAUUCUAGUGGCGUCGGCCACCGCCGUCGGCCAGUAGAAGCCUUGUCGGAAAGCAUUCCCGACAAGGGCUCGAGGCGCCGCGUGAUGGCCGCAAGCCCCCGAGUGUAUCUCUCGCAGGAGUUCCUGACCUUCGGCGAUGGAGAUGCAUCGCUGGAGGAUGCCAGAGGGGCUGCGGUGGUAGAGCUCCUUCUCAUCUCCCAGCAAGACGAAUGACUUGGCGCGCCGCGCCACCCGCCGAGCUUCGGCUCGGUCGGAGGGUAGCUCUCCUUGGUGGAGAUAUUGCAGGUACGGGGUCUGCCAGUUUUGAUCAGGCGUGACCCCGCUUUGCUCCUCCUCGACGCGCAGCGUCUCGCCCUCGAGGGCCGAGGGUACCUCGGGCCGAACCGAGGGUGCCUCGGACUGAGCCGAGGGUGCCUCAGGCCGAACCGAGGGUGCCUCGGGCUGAACCGAGGGUGCCUCGGGCUAUGCCGAGGGUGCCUCAGGCUCGGGCGUGUCAUCGAUCUUGACGGAGGGUUGAUGCAGGUCUCGGGAGAAGACGUCCAGGGGAACCGUUGUUCGCCCCGAGGCUAUUUUAGCCAGCUCAUCCGUGGUCUCGUUGUAGCGCCGGGCGAUGUGGUUGAGCUCGAGCCCGUAGAACUUGUCUUCCAGGCGCCGAACCUCAUCGCAGUAGGCCUCCAUCUUCGGGUCGCGGCAGUGGGAGUUCUUCAUGACUUGGUCGAUGAUGAGCUGCGAGUCACCGCGAGCGUCGAGGCGUCGGACCCCUAGCUCGAUGGCGAUCCUCAACCCGUUGACCAGAGCCUCAUACUCGGCCACAUUGUUGGACGCCGGGAAAUGGAGGCGUAGCACAUAGCGUAUGUGCUUCCCGAGGGUCGAGAUGAAGAGUAGGCCUGCGCCGGCUCCUGUCUUCAUCAGCGACCCGUCGAAGAACAUGGUCCAGAGCUCCGGCUGGAUCGGAGCUGUUGGGAGCUAAGUGUCGACCCAUUCAGCUACGAAGUCCGUCAAGACCUGGGACUUGAUGGCCUUUCAAGGAGCGAACGAGAUUGUCUCGCCCAUGAUUUCCACCGCCCACUUUGCAAUCCUACCCGAGGCCUCCCGGCACUGGAUGAUCUCCCCCAGGGGGAAGGAUGACACCACAGUUACCGGAUGAGACUCGAAGUAGUGUUGCAGCUUCCGCCGUGUUAGGAUCACCGCGUACAGCAGCUUCUGAACUUGGGGGUAGCGGAUCUUGGUUUUGGACAGUACCUCACUGACGAAGUAGACCGGCCUCUGAACGGGCAAUGCAUGCCCCUCUUCUUGCCUCUCGACCACAAUCGCGGCGCUAACCACCUGAGUGGUCGCGGCGACGUAGACCAAGAGGGCUUCUCCGGCAGCCGGGGGCACCAAGAUAGGCGCCUUCGUGAGGAGCGCCUUCAGGUUCCCGAGGGCUUCCUCAGCCUCAGGGGUCCAAGUGAAGCACUCGGCCUUCCUUAAGAGGCGGUACAGAGGUAGACCUCUUUUGCUGAGGCGUGAGAUGAAGCGGCUCAGAGCCGCGAGACAUCCCAUGACCCUCUGUACGCCUUUCAAGUCUUUGAUGGGCCCCAUGCUGGUGAUGGCCGCGAUCUUCUCCGGGUUGGCUUCGAUGCCCCGCUCGGAGACGAUGAACCCCAAGAGCAUGCCUCGGGGCACCCCGAAGACACACUUUUCGGGAUUGAGCUUGACGCCUUUCGCCUUGAGACAUCGAAAUGUCACUUCAAGGUCGGAAAGGAGGUCAGAGGCUUUCCUCGUCUUGACUAUGAUGUCAUCGACGUAGGCCUCGACCGUGCGGCCAAUGUGUUCGCCGAACACAUGGUUCAUUAUGGCGAAGGCGAAGCAUCGCCCGCUUCUCCUGCCAGAGGCACCGCCUGUCCCGCCGCGGAGUUAAUGUGACGGGGCGAGUGGUUGGCGGGGUGGCCGUUGCGCGUGCGCGAGCCGUUCGAGGAACGGUACACGGGUGCGUUGUCUUCACGCCGUGAGAGAGGGUUCUCUCGCUGCCCCGGACGGGACGUGAGCUUGGCUGACGACGUGGCCGCUGCUCCUGCCCGCCUGCCACCGCCAUUACUGCCGGCCCAUUUUUGGCCGCAUUGACCAUCGCGCCAAGCUGGCGCUGCUGGGUCGUGCGCUGGGUCGCCUCGAGUCGCGAUAUUGGUUCCACAGUCGAGGAGGCGCGGUAGUGGCGCAAGUGGCGGUGCAGUUGCAUGCACGAAGCAUUCGGCGCGCCGGUUGCAUGACGCGUGGGCCUAGGCCUCCAUGCUGGGCGUGUUGGGAGUCGGAGAAGUGCGCCCACUUGGCGCGGUUGCAUACCGCCUGCAUGGCUGCCCGUCCCUUUCGCCCGUUGGUCUGGGCAAAAGUGGAGAGUCGCUUGUAACCGCUGGGCGGUUGUACGCACCGCGCACGGCGGUUUGGCUUCUUCUGCUCUGAGCUGGCUUGCAUGACGUGUGGGACCCAGCCCCCGCGCCGCAGGGGAGGACCUUGGAGCGUGUUGGAGAAGACUCAGCCCGCGACGGCUGGGGACGCAAGUAGGGAGAGUCGCCUUUAAAAAGAGGGUGACCCCCUUGGAAGGCGACCAUGUCUUUCUGUCAGGCCGGUCAGUGGAGCGGCGAAGUGACGGCGGUCACUUCGGCUCUGUCAGCUGGGGGGGCGCGUCGGGAUAAAGGUGUCAGGCCACCUUUGCAUUAAAUGCUCCUGCGAUUUGGUCGGUCGGUGCGGCGAUUUGGUCAGGGUUGCUUCUUGGCGAAGACAGGGCCUCGGGCGAGCCGGAAAUAUGUUCGCCGCUGGAGGGGGGCCUCGGGCGAGAUGGAGAUCCUCCGGGGUCGGCUGCCCUUGUCCGAGGCUAGGCUCGAGUGAGGCGUGAUCGAGUCCCUCGAAUGGACUGAUCCCUGACUUAAUCGCACCCAUCAGGCCUUUGCAGCUUUAUGCUGAUGGGGGUUACCAGCUGAGAAUUAGGAGCCUUGAGGGUACCCCUAAUUAUGGUCUCCGACACUACUCGCAUUUUCCUGAGGGGGCACUGGUUCGAAUUUUCUCAUGGCCAUGUUUUUUUUAAUUUUAGUUAGGUGUGGGCUGUGAGGCUACCCUUGCAGGCUUAAUAAGUAGUAGAGAUUCGUGAUCUUGAUAUCUAAGUUGGUUGUAUCUCACAUCUUGAACUUUUGCGUAAUUUAUAGAUCUUCAACAUAACAUUUUAUACAAUUGACAACCGGCCAAACAAGUUUUAGAGCACACGAUUGGUGUUAAAGAGCUGUAACAACUCAUAAUUAGACGUGAGGAACACCUUAGGCAACUAUAAUCUGUCUCAUUAAGUAGAGAAACUAUUUUGGAAUGAAACUAACUUGAGUGAUAAGGUUGUAACUCGUUAUUGUUACCUAACUUGUUCAUCUUAGAGAUAUUCCUAUCACUUUUCUGCAUGAGUUGUUUUUAUAAAUUAAUAGGUUUCUAACUUACCUUGUAUUACAUGGAUAGAUAGAUGUGGGACAAGUGAUGGCCAUUGAUUAGUGGACUAUAUGGCUAGAGAUGAAAACAUUUUCAGAAUUUUUCGGUAUUCCGGAAACCGAUUUCAAAAUUUUUCGAUCGGAUUCACUGGUAACGGUAUUUUUCGAAAACGGAAUCAGUUUUCGAAAUUUUCUAUCGGAAUUGGUGUGGUGUUUUACCGACCGUUUCCUUCGGUUACCGGUUUUUUGUCGAAAAUUAACGGAUUUUUGUCUCGGAAUUUUUUGGAAUUGUGUCUUAGAUUUUUUCGGAAUUUUCCAGCAUGUGAUUUUUCGCAUCACCUGUACGUCUCUAGAUAAGUAUUACUUAUUUUUGUAUUUUUUUUGGACGCAUUAAGAUUUUUUGGGAUAGAUGGUGUUGGAAGGCAGUUGGGAUUAACGAUUUGGUCUCUCGAACGAAUCCACUCUUUUCUAUGCACAUGUUAUGUAUUAGUAAUAUCUAAUAGGGUUGAAAACGGACGGAAAAAAUCCUGUCUCGACCCGUACCGUUUUCUACAUUUCACCCGACCAUUUCCGUAUUUACAGAAAAAACAUGGAAACGAGAUGGAAACAGGAGAUGGCUUAUUCCGUCCGUUUUUGCGGGAUCCCGUUUUUUUCCUGAUUGAACCCGUAUUUAUUCCGUAUUUGACAAAUAUGGGACGAGCCUACUAUGCAUUAGUAUACAAACUAAAUCCUCGUGUAUUUAGGUGACAAAUUAUAGCACAAUUGACCAUUGUAACCACCGGCUCUUUUCAAAUGACAAGUGAUCUAAAGUUUUAAACAACAUCAGAUGUAGCUAAAUGUACAUAUUUAGCAACCAAACAACAAUAGAAUGUUGCCUCUCUAUAUCUAUUUGUUUUAUAUUAUUGUUCUGCCAAUCAAUCACUAGUCAAACAUCAGUAACAUUUCUAUUUGUAUUAAAUUAUGAGUUUCCGUUAGUAUUUCCGUUUCCGUUCGUUUUCGCAAUUCCGUUUAUCCCGCUCACGUUUCCGUUCCCGACUAUUCCGGACCCGAUCUCGUUUCCGAUGAUAAAAUGCGGAUACAGAAACAUGAGAGGGGUUUUUCCGUCCGUUUCCGUCCGUUUUCAUCCCUAUAUAUAAUGAUAGAGAGCCGAUAGUCUGCUUUUUCCACACUAGAUUUUAGGGUUUUCCUGUGAGGCUGUGAAAAAAUCUUUAUGUGAGGAAAAAAUAUUUCAUGAGUAAGCAUGCCAUGUCAGCUAGAUCGAGUGGAUAUUGUGAAUCGUAAACUUUGAGUCUAUGAACUUGUGAUCUUUAUAAACUUGUUAUAUUGUGAACCUGCUAUAUUGUGAACUUGUGAUAUUUGCGAACUUUUUAUACUAUAAAUUUGUGAUCCUUGUGAACUUGUUAUAUUGUGAACUUGUUAUAUCAUGAAAUGUGAACUUGUGGUCAUUGUGACAUUUUGUCAACUUUGCUGUAUUGUGAAGUUUGAUAUGUUUACCGAUCGUAUUUUAGAUUUCGAUCGUUACUGGUGUAUUUUUUACACCAAACUUUCGUUUCCGAUGUAUCCGAAAUACCGAUAUCGUUUCCGUUUCUAGAGUUACCGUUUUCGAUUUUGUUUCCGAUAAAAAAAUAUAAAAAUGGUAAUGGUUUUAGUGUUUACCGACUGUGUCCGACCGUUUUCAUCCCUAUAUAUGGCCACGAAUUAGACUAUUCAUGUCUUAGCCAUCUAAAAAUUCUUUCAGUGUUCUAUCGUCGACCUUCCUUGUAAGCCCCUGUUUGUUUCGGCUUUUCGCAGCUUCUGGCCACCAAAAGCCGCUGCGGACUACCAAACACUCAGCUUUUCAGUCAGCUUCUAUAAAAAUUGUUUGGGUAAAAACCAUCCAAAAUCAACAUAAACAUAUAAUCGGUUGAGUCGUCGCAAUAGUAGUAAUCCGUCACUUUAUAGAUCCUGAGCUCAUGGACAACUUUAUCUUUGUCCGCACGUAAUUCUAAUGAUACUCAGAUUCUCUACACAACCAGAUUCUCCCUACAACUAGAUUCUCGGAAAAGCUGGGCAGAAAAAAGCUGAACCAAACAGACCCUAAAUCAUUUCCUUUAAUAAGUUGAAUGUUUCCGUUAUGUUUCAUUAAGACUUACAUUAUUUUUGUAAUAUAUAACUUAUGUCAUACUACGUAUACACUUAGAGUUGUCAUUAAUAAUAUCAUUAUAUAUAUGUGUGUGUAAAACCGAUACUGACGCACAGUAUAUCUUUACAACAGGAUGUGACAAAGGUCACUGCCUCUGUGUUUGAGGAAUCAGAUCCUCUACAGUCGAGGUUCUUGACCUGUCUCUACAGUUGGUCUAAUCCAACCAUCAAGCAGCAAUCCUACGGCACCCUCCCGCACAGCUUCUCUCCUGACCGAGACGUGCGGCUUGGCUCACGCGAGAGCCGUGCCCAACACUGGGCCUCGGCCCAACAGCGCUGGGACUCCUCAUCUUUUACCGCGAAAACAACGCAUUUUGGCGGGCACCUCGCGUUUUACGAGCUAUGGGCGGCGGCGAUUAGGCUGCUUGUCAUUCAUCAAACACAUGUGAGUUAAUCUCGUUUUUCUUCUUCGCGACUUGAUUGUUUUCAGCAAACUCUACUAUGUGUGCUCUGAUUUGAUUGUAUUCCACCUCACUUGUAUGCUCUGAUUUAAUUGUAUUCCACCUCACCUCAUUAGACUGUGUUGGAAUUCAUCGAAGGAAACCUAGAGCAAAGUUAAAUCUGCAUAUUUGAGAUGGAAGAAAAUAGGUAUGCGAAGCCAUGGUUGUUACUUUUUCACUAGAUCAGAUAGAUUUUAUUUGUUCAAUGACCAGCAGAUUUUUUUUGUUCCUGUAGAGUGGGUGUGCUGCCUUGUUUGAUACCUGAAGUUGGCAUGGAGUUCAAUACUAUUGAUGAGGCUUGGAUGUUUUGGAUUGCCUAUGGAGGUCAAAAAGGGUUUGAGGUUAGAAAAAGCUACACAAACAAAAGAAAAUCUGAUGGGAAGAUUAGGUCCUGCAGAUAUGUUUGUGCAAAAGAGGGUCACAGAAAAAAAGAUAAAAGGGAUUAUCUAACAAAGUGUCCAAGAGCUGAAACCAGAACCGAUUGUCAAGUUCGCAUGGGUGUUGUACUAGAUCAAGAGAAGGAGAAAUAUAAAGUUGCUGAUCUAGUUUUGGAACACAAUCACAUCCUUCAGUUGCUAGAAACGUCGCAUUUGAUGGUGUCUCAAAGGAAAAUUUCAGAGUUACAAGGUUUUGAAAUUGAGACAGCCGAUGAUGCGGGAAUUGGGCCCAAAGCGGCACAUGAGUUGGCUAGUAUCCAAGUUGGUGGUUCAAUUAAUCUUAGUUACACCCUUCGUGACCACAAGAAUUAUUUACGGGGCAAACGCCAACGAGAGAUGGCAUAUGGUCAAGCAGGAAGCAUGCUCAUGUAUUUUCAAAACAAAAUUGCUGAUAACCCAUCAUUCCAAUAUGCAUUGCAGAUGGAUAGUGAGGAACAAAUAGCAAACAUAUUUUGGGUUGAUGCCAAAAUGAUUACUGACUUUGCACAUUUUGGUGAUGUUAUCAGCUUUGACACUACUUUUGGAACAAACAAGGAAAGCAGACCUUUUGGUGUAUUUGUUGGGUUCAAUCAGUUCAGGGAAACUGUGGUUUUUGGUGCUGUUCUCAUGUACGAUGAGACAUUUGAGUCUUUCAAGUGGUUAUUUGAGACCUUUCUAAAAGCGCAUAAUGACAAGCAACCUAAAACAAUCUAUACUGAUCAAGAUGCUGCAAUGGCAAAAGCAGUUAAGGAAGUAUUUUUAGAAGCAUGGCAUGGUUUGUGCACUUUUCAUAUUAUGCAGAAUGCUGUCAAACAUCUAUUUGAAGCUGGCGAUGAAGAAUCUAGUACUUCUCCCAAACAGACAAUAGAAGAAAAUGACAAAGAACCAAGUAUUCUUGCAUAUUUUAGUGCAUGUAUGUUUGAGUACGAAGAUGAGGAAACAUUUGAACAAGCAUUUAACGUCAUAAGGGAAAAGGCGAGCAAGCAAAGUUGGUUGGAUAGUAUAUACAAGGUGAAAGAAAAAUGGGCUGAAUGUUACAUGAAGGAUGUGUUCACAUUAGGUAUGAGAAGUACACAAUUGAGUGAGAGUCUAAAUAGUGAGCUGAAGAGACAUUUCAAAUCUGAUUUUGAUAUCAUUCGAUUUCUUAAGCAAUUUGAAAGGGUGGUGGAAGAUAAGAGAAAAAAUGAGCUAAAUGCUGAAUUUGAAUCAAGGAAGAAAAUACCAAGAAUCAAAAUGAGGACACCUAUGCUAAUCCAAGCUAGCAAGUUGUACACGCCAGUUAUAUUCGAGGCUUUUCAAAGUGAGUAUGAAAGGUCCAUGGUAGCAUGCACCUCGGCAUUGGACGACAACAAUAGCUAUCUUGUGGCAAUUGGCAGUCUUGAUGGAAAUUUUACCUUUGAGAAGGAGUACAAAGUUUUUGGUAAUUCUUUAGAGCAAACUAUUACAUGCAGUUGUGGGUUAUUCAGUAGAACUGGAAUAUUGUGUGGCCAUGCUUUAAAAGUCCUUGAUUUGAUGAAUAUCAAAUCUCUGCCAUCACAAUAUGUACUGAAGCGAUGGACACGUGCAGCACGUUGUGGGACAGUACAAGACAACCAUGGACGAAAUAUUAUAGAGAAUCCAAGAUUAAAUGAGAUGGCUCGCUACAAAGAUAUGACCCGCAAAUUUCUCAAUUUGGCACUUCGAGCUGCUAGCCAUCAAGGAUCUACCUUGUUAGUAAACAACACACUUGACAUCCUGAACAAACAAGUUGAAGAAGAAAUAAAUGCAAGUACUGAUAAAACUGUUUCGAUCACUACUCCCACAAAUGUUAGUCCUCCAAAUGAUUUGGUGAGUGCAGCACGCCUUAAGAAAAAGGAGGUGGAAACAAAAACCUCGAAGCGCAAAAAAAAUUGGCUUGACAAGCUGCACAAAUCUGGAAAGAAGGGAAGUAAGAAGGGAGGUAACAAAAAGAAAACUGCUGCAAAGGUAUGUGAUAACAGAACAUAUAUUUGAUUCUCUUUCACUGUGUUCCAUGGGAAAAUGUUAAAUUUUAUUUCUUUUAUUUGAAGGAACAAGAAACUGCAAAGAAAGGAGGUAAGAAAAAGGAAAAAGAAGCUACACCUAGUACUUCUUUGCCCAUGGAACAGAUGUCUGAAUCAUACAUGGCCAUCAAUACCUUCUCUCAGAUAUUGACGGUAAUAUUUCAAACUAAUACACCAUUUUUUGUAUACCAUACAUUGCCAUCAAUACAUUCUUUCAAUUGUGCAUCUGAACCUUUUAUUUUGCAGGGGGCACUCACAGAUGAUGUUCUUGCUGAUUUCUAGUAGUAUGGAUAUUUCCUGUAAUUUGAAUGUCUUUUGGAUAAUAGAUUGGCGAGCCUGUCGGGCACGGCUCUCGCACAAGCCAAGCCGCGCGUCUCGGUCAGGAGAGAAGCCGUGCGGGAGGGUGCCGUAGGAUUGCUGCUUGAUGGUUGGAUUAGACCAACUGUAGAGACAGGUCAAGAACCUCGACUGUAGAGGAUCUGAUUCCGUGUUUGAGGGAGCAUAUAGAAACUUUGAUGGGCUUGGGCUCAGCAAAAAACCAUAUGAACCCAAGGGGGCUACCACCAUAGUCCAUCACAAAAAAAAAAACCCAGACAUCUGGAGAGCCACUUGGAACUUGGAACUGCGUUGAACCCGCGCCCUCAAGGCAGGGAUACAACAGGCCCACGAAGUCGGGGUCUAUUGGCAGCCACGUCUCACCUGGCCGAAAAGCGUCGAGCAGCCCACGUUUGAGGUCGUGCCAAGUCCGACCCCACUUACCAUCACGAGCCGUGCCACGUGUGUACCCACGCAGAAGCAGUUACCCUCUCGUAUCGUCCCGGGCUCCUCUCAAAAGAUCACAGAGAGAGAAAACGAAACGCCGCUCCCUCGCCUCAUCCCUUCCCUCCUCCUGCAUCCUACCUCCCUGGUGCCCGUCACGUUCACCACGUUCGCCCGCUCAUUCACCGGCGGCGUCGCCCAGCUCGGCCUCCCGCCGCCCACGGAGGCCAGGUCCCCGGGCCGCCCGCUCGGUCCGCCACGGAGGCAAGGUAACCGGCGCCUUUCUCUCGAUCGAUCGAUCGUUUGUCCCGCGCCGAUCGGCCGAGCACGCCAUUGCGUGUCGGCGCGGCACUUUUUUCAUUCCUCUUUGGCCCCCGCAACCGCCUGCACGGUCGCGGCGCCCAUGGUUCCCUUACGCACGGCUGCAGGCACCCGGCGUCGCCCACCCUCCAGUCGGCGCCGUCCCUUCCAUCGGCGCAUCAGGCGCCGCCGCGCUAGGCGCCCCUGCGCCCGCUCUCCCUGCCAUCGAUCCGCCGCCGUAGGGGAUAGCUGGGCCACGGGCCUGGCUCCCCACCGCCGAUCAGCCGUCGUCGCGCUCCCCUGGCCACCCCUGCUUCGACACGGGCAUCCUUCCCCUUCCGCUCCCUCUUCUCCUUUGCCCCCAUGGGGGGAAGCAGCCUGGGCCGCCACCAGUGUCAGACGCAGAACAAAUUUUAGGUCGGACGACACCAUAAGAGACAAAUUACGGUACUAGACUACUAGAUAAAAAUAGCUUAAUGAUAAUAACGUGGAGGCUAGGUGAUAAUAUUAGGGGCAUUCCAAAAUGAUAUGAAUACCAAAAAAAUCUUUUGGCCACCCUAGGGAAAGGCGGGGAGAGGGAAAGGGGUGGGCCAACAAGGGGAGAGCGGAGAGCGCCAGGGUGAAGCGGCCGCAUCGACGUGGCGAGUCGGCGAGUCUGCCACAAGAUGGCGACGAUGAGGCAGAAACAUGUGAGGUGUAGCGAGGGCAAGAGGCGGUAGGCGGUGGCAAGCGACAACAAUUGUUGCAUUGCGACGACGUGGUGGGGCCCAGUGACAUAGUGAGGGCAGAUGGCGGUGGCACCGUGGUGCCAAGGCAGGAUCCCACCAAUAGCCCGUCUUCCUGUCGAUGCGGACUAGGAGGCAAAGUAGUGACGCUGCGUGCAGGAUCUCGACAACGCAAUGAGCUGACGAGUGACGGGAAGACAAGGUGGCAUUGGUAGCGGACGGGUUAGGUCACCCACUACCGAUCAGUCAUGACCGAAGGAGCGACCGAGCCACGAGUAGCUAGCCGCUAGGGGAAGGAAUCGAACGACUCGAAUGGAGAGCAGGC